AACGAACGCUGGCGGCAGGCUUAACACAUGCAAGUCGAACGCCCCGCAAGGGGAGUGGCAGACGGGUGAGUAACGCGUGGGAACAUACCCUUUCCUGCGGCAUAGCUCCGGGUAACUGGAAUUAAUACCGCAUACGCCCUACGGGGGAAAGAUUUAUCGGGGUAGGAUUGGCCCGCGUUGGAUUAGCUGGUUGGUGGGGUAAAGGCCUACCAAGGCGACGAUCCAUGGCUGGUGUGAGAGGAUGAUAAGCCACCUUGGGACUGAGACACGGCCCAAACUCCGAGGGGAGGGAGCGGUGGGGUAUAUUGGACAAUGGGCGCAAGCCUGAUCCAGCCAUGCCGCGUGAGUGAUGAAGGCCUUAGGGUUGUAAAGCUCUUUCACCGAUGAAGAUAAUGACGGUAGUCGGAGAAGAAGCCCCGGCUAACUUCGUG
RNAcentral lists this ribosomal RNA (431 nucleotides) under uncultured bacterium. RNAcentral describes it as "partial 16S ribosomal RNA". It matches the Rfam family "Bacterial small subunit ribosomal RNA", at positions 29 to 507 of the family's 1533-position model. The record is from RNAcentral.